UCUUUUAGCAGCUCGCACUCUUCCCCUGUUUAUUUUACAGUGUGUUAUUGCAACUUGAAAUCUUUGGCUUGUUUGAUUGCUUCCUCCACCCACAGUUGAGCGUCUUGUAUUCACACAAUCACUGUUGUUAUUAUCUAGUUGAUGCUGGAUACACAAAUUGUGAGGGAUUUCUUGCACCUUUUAGAGGACAACGAUAUCAUUUGAAUGAGUGGCGUCAAGGUUAUCAGCCAAGUACUCCGGAA
Gossypium raimondii (Peruvian cotton) is the source of this 242-nucleotide long non-coding RNA. RefSeq lists it as uncharacterized. The transcript has 3 exons. NCBI's taxonomy places the organism in Eukaryota, Viridiplantae, Streptophyta, Magnoliopsida, Malvales, Malvaceae. The record is from RefSeq and is a predicted model, not a curated record.